Molecule: long non-coding RNA, 440 nt
Filed under: Capsella grandiflora
Lineage: Eukaryota; Viridiplantae; Streptophyta; Magnoliopsida; Brassicales; Brassicaceae
Description: long non-coding RNA (CGRA_LNC000951)
Source: RNAcentral
AUUUAUAACCCCAAUUUAACAUUUUCAUAUUAUAAAUUUACACAUUUGAUAACAUAUUAAUCAAUCGAUACGUUUCUUUUCUUACAAACAAACAAAAAAUCUCCGGAUCUUUGUCCUGAGCCGUCCCUCAUCAAUCCCCAAAAAAAAAUCUCAUCUACGUAUGCUCAAAAACACUACUGACUUUUUUUCUUUUUUUUUUUCUCUAUGGACAUUUCGAGUUUUUACCCGGUCCUCCGUAGUAAAAAUAGUUACCCCAAACCCGGUUUACUCCUCCUCUUAUGUCGUAACAAUUCGGAUGAUCCGCAAGUACUUUAAGAUUAGAUAUCGGAAUAAGAGUGUUGUCCCAAUCUACCAUUUGAAGAUUCCUAAAGUAAGACGCUUUUCCAAAACCUUCACCGGCAAAAUGGCCACUACCCAUUUGAGUUGUAGUAUGUGAACCA